This is a long non-coding RNA of Benincasa hispida (wax gourd), 573 nucleotides long. RefSeq lists it as uncharacterized. The record is from RefSeq and is a predicted model, not a curated record. NCBI's taxonomy places the organism in Eukaryota, Viridiplantae, Streptophyta, Magnoliopsida, Cucurbitales, Cucurbitaceae.
UUGAGAGCUGAACACAACCAUUUCCAUACUAUUAUGCUGCUGGAAUUUGGUCUCAAACUCACCUACCUUCAUAUAUCUCUCUAGAGCUUGAACCUUCAAGCAUUCCCUUCCCAUUCCCUAUCUUUAUAGACUCCCACAAGUCGUUUUUGGCAAGAAGAAUAGUAGGGAAGACACUAGAGGUGGUCCACACACCGUUCGUGAGCAAAGGAAUCAAAGGGAGUUGCUAAAUCUGUCUCCAAAAAGCACGACUAGCUCUUUAGAUCAACUCUUAGCUUUCGAGAAACUAAAUGGCGAUAAUUACUCAACAUGGAAAAACAAUCUGAAUUCAACACUAGUAAUAGAUGACCUGAGAUUUGUCUUAACGGAGGAAUAUCCUCAGGCCCCCUGCCUCGAAAGAAGCACAAGGAAACUAGUUCCUGGAAAAAGCUUGAAGAAGGCAAGAUCACCCUCGAGGUUGGAACAUGAGAGAUUGUCUCGGCCGAAGCAGUGGGAGAUUUAAAGUUUUUUUUCAACGAUAAAUAUAUCAUACUUAAAGAUGUUUUGUAUACACCUCUUAUGAAGAGGAAUUUAAUA